This 2902-nucleotide ribosomal RNA is filed under the name Escherichia coli 201600.1. Its description in RNAcentral is "bacterial LSU rRNA". It matches the Rfam family "Bacterial large subunit ribosomal RNA". Lineage: Bacteria; Pseudomonadati; Pseudomonadota; Gammaproteobacteria; Enterobacterales; Enterobacteriaceae. The record is from RNAcentral.
UUAAGCGACUAAGCGUACACGGUGGAUGCCCUGGCAGUCAGAGGCGAUGAAGGACGUGCUAAUCUGCGAUAAGCGUCGGUAAGGUGAUAUGAACCGUUAUAACCGGCGAUUUCCGAAUGGGGAAACCCAGUGUGUUUCGACACACUAUCAUUAACUGAAUCCAUAGGUUAAUGAGGCGAACCGGGGGAACUGAAACAUCUAAGUACCCCGAGGAAAAGAAAUCAACCGAGAUUCCCCCAGUAGCGGCGAGCGAACGGGGAGCAGCCCAGAGCCUGAAUCAGUGUGUGUGUUAGUGGAAGCGUCUGGAAAGGCGCGCGAUACAGGGUGACAGCCCCGUACACAAAAAUGCACAUGCUGUGAGCUCGAUGAGUAGGGCGGGACACGUGGUAUCCUGUCUGAAUAUGGGGGGACCAUCCUCCAAGGCUAAAUACUCCUGACUGACCGAUAGUGAACCAGUACCGUGAGGGAAAGGCGAAAAGAACCCCGGCGAGGGGAGUGAAAAAGAACCUGAAACCGUGUACGUACAAGCAGUGGGAGCCUCUUUUAUGGGGUGACUGCGUACCUUUUGUAUAAUGGGUCAGCGACUUAUAUUCUGUAGCAAGGUUAACCGAAUAGGGGAGCCGAAGGGAAACCGAGUCUUAACUGGGCGUUAAGUUGCAGGGUAUAGACCCGAAACCCGGUGAUCUAGCCAUGGGCAGGUUGAAGGUUGGGUAACACUAACUGGAGGACCGAACCGACUAAUGUUGAAAAAUUAGCGGAUGACUUGUGGCUGGGGGUGAAAGGCCAAUCAAACCGGGAGAUAGCUGGUUCUCCCCGAAAGCUAUUUAGGUAGCGCCUCGUGAAUUCAUCUCCGGGGGUAGAGCACUGUUUCGGCAAGGGGGUCAUCCCGACUUACCAACCCGAUGCAAACUGCGAAUACCGGAGAAUGUUAUCACGGGAGACACACGGCGGGUGCUAACGUCCGUCGUGAAGAGGGAAACAACCCAGACCGCCAGCUAAGGUCCCAAAGUCAUGGUUAAGUGGGAAACGAUGUGGGAAGGCCCAGACAGCCAGGAUGUUGGCUUAGAAGCAGCCAUCAUUUAAAGAAAGCGUAAUAGCUCACUGGUCGAGUCGGCCUGCGCGGAAGAUGUAACGGGGCUAAACCAUGCACCGAAGCUGCGGCAGCGACGCUGAUGCGUUGUUGGGUAGGGGAGCGUUCUGUAAGCCUGUGAAGGUGUGCUGUGAGGCAUGCUGGAGGUAUCAGAAGUGCGAAUGCUGACAUAAGUAACGAUAAAGCGGGUGAAAAGCCCGCUCGCCGGAAGACCAAGGGUUCCUGUCCAACGUUAAUCGGGGCAGGGUGAGUCGACCCCUAAGGCGAGGCCGAAAGGCGUAGUCGAUGGGAAACAGGUUAAUAUUCCUGUACUUGGUGUUACUGCGAAGGGGGGACGGAGAAGGCUAUGUUGGCCGGGCGACGGUUGUCCCGGUUUAAGCGUGUAGGCUGGUUUUCCAGGCAAAUCCGGAAAAUCAAGGCUGAGGCGUGAUGACGAGGCACUACGGUGCUGAAGCAACAAAUGCCCUGCUUCCAGGAAAAGCCUCUAAGCAUCAGGUAACAUCAAAUCGUACCCCAAACCGACACAGGUGGUCAGGUAGAGAAUACCAAGGCGCUUGAGAGAACUCGGGUGAAGGAACUAGGCAAAAUGGUGCCGUAACUUCGGGAGAAGGCACGCUGAUAUGUAGGUGAAGUCCCUCGCGGAUGGAGCUGAAAUCAGUCGAAGAUACCAGCUGGCUGCAACUGUUUAUUAAAAACACAGCACUGUGCAAACACGAAAGUGGACGUAUACGGUGUGACGCCUGCCCGGUGCCGGAAGGUUAAUUGAUGGGGUCAGCGCAAGCGAAGCUCUUGAUCGAAGCCCCGGUAAACGGCGGCCGUAACUAUAACGGUCCUAAGGUAGCGAAAUUCCUUGUCGGGUAAGUUCCGACCUGCACGAAUGGCGUAAUGAUGGCCAGGCUGUCUCCACCCGAGACUCAGUGAAAUUGAACUCGCUGUGAAGAUGCAGUGUACCCGCGGCAAGACGGAAAGACCCCGUGAACCUUUACUAUAGCUUGACACUGAACAUUGAGCCUUGAUGUGUAGGAUAGGUGGGAGGCUUUGAAGUGUGGACGCCAGUCUGCAUGGAGCCGACCUUGAAAUACCACCCUUUAAUGUUUGAUGUUCUAACGUUGACCCGUAAUCCGGGUUGCGGACAGUGUCUGGUGGGUAGUUUGACUGGGGCGGUCUCCUCCUAAAGAGUAACGGAGGAGCACGAAGGUUGGCUAAUCCUGGUCGGACAUCAGGAGGUUAGUGCAAUGGCAUAAGCCAGCUUGACUGCGAGCGUGACGGCGCGAGCAGGUGCGAAAGCAGGUCAUAGUGAUCCGGUGGUUCUGAAUGGAAGGGCCAUCGCUCAACGGAUAAAAGGUACUCCGGGGAUAACAGGCUGAUACCGCCCAAGAGUUCAUAUCGACGGCGGUGUUUGGCACCUCGAUGUCGGCUCAUCACAUCCUGGGGCUGAAGUAGGUCCCAAGGGUAUGGCUGUUCGCCAUUUAAAGUGGUACGCGAGCUGGGUUUAGAACGUCGUGAGACAGUUCGGUCCCUAUCUGCCGUGGGCGCUGGAGAACUGAGGGGGGCUGCUCCUAGUACGAGAGGACCGGAGUGGACGCAUCACUGGUGUUCGGGUUGUCAUGCCAAUGGCACUGCCCGGUAGCUAAAUGCGGAAGAGAUAAGUGCUGAAAGCAUCUAAGCACGAAACUUGCCCCGAGAUGAGUUCUCCCUGACUCCUUGAGAGUCCUAAAGGAACGUUGAAGACGACGACGUUGAUAGGCCGGGUGUGUAAGCGCAGCGAUGCGUUGAGCUAACCGGUACUAAUGAACCGUGAGGCUUAACCUU